AACGGAUAUAACCCCCUAAUA
Molecule: transfer RNA, 21 nt
Filed under: Calotes versicolor
Lineage: Eukaryota; Metazoa; Chordata; Lepidosauria; Squamata; Agamidae
Also listed under: 1 other name
Description: partial tRNA-Met
Source: RNAcentral